RNAcentral lists this unclassified non-coding RNA (23 nucleotides) under Mus musculus (house mouse). Its description in RNAcentral is "oocyte_clustered_small_RNA8157". Lineage: Eukaryota; Metazoa; Chordata; Mammalia; Rodentia; Muridae. The record is from RNAcentral.
GUGCUCACUGACCCUGCAUGCAG